RNAcentral lists this transfer RNA (71 nucleotides) under Schistosoma mansoni. The record is from RNAcentral. Lineage: Eukaryota; Metazoa; Platyhelminthes; Trematoda; Strigeidida; Schistosomatidae.
GAAUCUUCCCGAGUGGAUAACGCGAUUGCGUUUGAAGCGAAAGGUAACGGGUUCGAGUCCCAGAGUGAACA